Molecule: ribosomal RNA, 253 nt
Filed under: uncultured bacterium
Lineage: Bacteria
Description: partial 16S ribosomal RNA
Rfam family: Bacterial small subunit ribosomal RNA
Source: RNAcentral
UACAGAGGGUGCAAGCGUUAAUCGGAUUUACUGGGCGUAAAGCGUGCGUAGGCGGCUAUUUAAGUCGGAUGUGAAAGCCCUGGGCUUAACCUGGGAACUGCAUUCGAUACUGGGUAGCUGGAGAUCGGUAGAGGGCGGCGGAAUUCCGGGUGUAGCGGUGAAAUGCGUAGAUAUCCGGAGGAACACCGAUGGCGAAGGCAGCCGCCUGGGCCUGAUCUGACGCUGAGGCACGAAAGCGUGGGGAGCAAACAGG